Long non-coding RNA from Cydia strobilella, 389 nucleotides. RefSeq lists it as uncharacterized. The transcript has 3 exons. Lineage: Eukaryota; Metazoa; Arthropoda; Insecta; Lepidoptera; Tortricidae. The record is from RefSeq and is a predicted model, not a curated record.
GUGACUUCUGGGUUUUUCUUGAGGAUUGACAGUGCAGAGGACAAAUUUGAGUCACGUUACUUUAUUUAUUUUGCUACUCUUGUCUGCAAGAGUUGCCUACCCGCGUAGUCGCGUUGUCAUAGUGGGACUAAAGCUGGGCGGGGCUGCCUUGGCGCCAUGCCGGCAUGCUGCUGCCCGACCAGACGUACGAAGGCGCGGCACGGGCCCUGGCGCCCUGCGCGCCCGCGACGCCCGCGCGCCUACCGGCGCUGCUGCGCGCGCACCGCGUGCGCCCGGACUUCUUCUGCGCCAAUCGCCUGCGGCGCCCGGGACAUGCUCGCAAGGCGGUGACGGAGGGUGCAGGCGGCGAGCGGCGGCGACGCGUACGCCUUUCUGCGACACAACACGAC